Triticum aestivum (bread wheat) is the source of this 124-nucleotide non-coding RNA. The record is from Rfam. NCBI's taxonomy places the organism in Eukaryota, Viridiplantae, Streptophyta, Magnoliopsida, Poales, Poaceae.
AUAGUACUCCCUCCGUCCGAAAAUACUUGUCGGAGAAAUGGAUGUAUCUAGACGUAUUUUAGUUCUAGAUACAUAUAUUUUUAGCAUUUCUCCGACAAGUAUUUUCGGACGGAGGGAGUAUUCA